CCUACGGGAGGCUGCAGUGAGGAAUCUUGGUCAAUGGCCGUAAGGCUGAACCAGCCAAGUAGCGUGAGGGAAGACUGCCCUAUGGGUUGUAAACCUCUUUUAUGCGGGGAUAAAGGUGUCCACGUGUGGAUGUUUGCAGGUACCGCAUUAAUAAGGACCGGCUAAUUCCGUGCCAGCCGCCGCGGUAAUACGGAAGGUCCGGGCGUUAUCCGGAUUUAUUGGGUUUAAAGGGAGCGUAGGCCGGUCUUUAAGCGUGCCGUGAAAUUUUGUGGCUCAACCAUGAGAGUGCGGCGCGAACUGGAGACCUUGAGUGCGCGGAAGGCAGGCGGAAUUCGUGGUGUAGCGGUGACAUGCUUAGAUAUCACGAAGAACCCCGAUUGCGAAGGCAGCCUGCCGCAGCGUUACUGACGCUGAAGCUCGAAAGCGCGGGUAUCGAACAGGAUUAGAUACCCCUGUAGUC
Molecule: ribosomal RNA, 460 nt
Filed under: uncultured bacterium
Lineage: Bacteria
Description: partial 16S ribosomal RNA
Rfam family: Bacterial small subunit ribosomal RNA
Source: RNAcentral